AUGAACGCUGGCUACAGGCUUAACACAUGCAACUCGAGGGGAAACGACGGGGAAGCUUGCUUCCCCGGGCGUCGACCGGCGCACGGGUGAGUAACGCGUAUCCAACCUGCCUCUGACUGAGGGAUAACCCGUCGAAAGUCGGCCUAAUACCUCAUGGCAUCGUCUGCGGGCAUCCAACGACGAUUAAAGAUUUCAUCGGUCAGGGAUGGGGAUGCGUCUGAUUAGCUUGUUGGCGGGGUAACGGCCCACCAAGGCUACGAUCAGUAGGGGUUCUGAGAGGAAGGUCCCCCACAUUGGAACUGAGACACGGUCCAAACUCCUACGGGAGGCAGCAGUGAGGAAUAUUGGUCAAUGGGCGGGAGCCUGAACCAGCCAAGUAGCGUGCAGGAUGACGGCCCUAUGGGUUGUAAACUGCUUUUAUGCGGGGAUAAAGUGAGGGACGUGUCCUUCAUUGCAGGUACCGCAUGAAUAAGGACCGGCUAAUUCCGUG
Molecule: ribosomal RNA, 490 nt
Filed under: uncultured bacterium
Lineage: Bacteria
Description: partial 16S ribosomal RNA
Rfam family: Bacterial small subunit ribosomal RNA
Source: RNAcentral